CCUACGGGGGGCUGCAGUGGGGAAUAUUGGACAAUGGGCGAAAGCCUGAUCCAGCAAUGCCGCGUGAGUGAUGAAGGCCUUAGGGUUGUAAAGCUCUUUUACCCGGGAUGAUAAUGACAGUACCGGGAGAAUAAGCUCCGGCUAACUCCGUGCCAGCAGCCGCGGUAAUACGGAGGGAGCUAGCGUUGUUCGGAAUUACUGGGCGUAAAGCGCACGUAGGCGGCUUUGUAAGUUAGAGGUGAAAGCCUGGAGCUCAACUCCAGAAUUGCCUUUAAGACUGCAUCGCUUGAAUCCAAGAGAGGUGAGUGGAAUUCCGAGUGUAGAGGUGAAAUUCGUAGAUAUUCGGAAGAACACCAGUGGCGAAGGCGGCUCACUGGCUUGGUAUUGACGCUGAGGUGCGAAAGCGUGGGGAGCAAACAGGAUUAGAUACCCCAGUAGUC
RNAcentral lists this ribosomal RNA (440 nucleotides) under uncultured bacterium. RNAcentral describes it as "partial 16S ribosomal RNA". It matches the Rfam family "Bacterial small subunit ribosomal RNA", at positions 338 to 795 of the family's 1533-position model. The record is from RNAcentral.